RNAcentral lists this ribosomal RNA (463 nucleotides) under bacterium enrichment culture clone TC60a_5439. RNAcentral describes it as "bacterial SSU rRNA". It matches the Rfam family "Bacterial small subunit ribosomal RNA", at positions 28 to 508 of the family's 1533-position model. The record is from RNAcentral.
GACGAACGCUGGCGGCGUGCUUAACACAUGCAAGUCGAGCGAUGAAGCUUCCUUCGGGAAGUGGAUUAGCGGCGGACGGGUGAGUAACACGUGGGUAACCUGCCUCAAAGUGGGGGAUAGCCUUCCGAAAGGAAGAUUAAUACCGCAUAAUAUGAGAGAAUCGCAUGAUUUUUUUAUCAAAGAUUUAUUGCUUUGAGAUGGACCCGCGGCGCAUUAGCUAGUUGGUAAGGUAACGGCUUACCAAGGCAACGAUGCGUAGCCGACCUGAGAGGGUGAUCGGCCACAUUGGAACUGAGACACGGUCCAGACUCCUACGGGAGGCAGCAGUGGGGAAUAUUGCGCAAUGGGGGAAACCCUGACGCAGCAACGCCGCGUGGGUGAUGAAGGUCUUCGGAUUGUAAAGCCCUGUUUUCUGGGACGAUAAUGACGGUACCAGAGGAGGAAGCCACGGCUAACUACGUGC